This 2013-nucleotide ribosomal RNA is filed under the name Triticum aestivum (bread wheat). Its description in RNAcentral is "partial small subunit ribosomal RNA". Lineage: Eukaryota; Viridiplantae; Streptophyta; Magnoliopsida; Poales; Poaceae. The record is from RNAcentral.
AUGUGGUGCACUGGAUUAAUCCAACUACCAGAAACUUCCCACGGAUCUGGGAUUCCCCCAAAAAAAAAACCUGCAUCAUCAUGCUUACAUCGCAGCAAUGUAGACCCAGCGCUCGGCCGCCGACGCCGUCCCGUCGCAGCUCCUUCCGGGGAGGCAAGCCUUGGCCUUCGCCGCGUCCUGCACGCGGUAGCUCUCGCUCACGUUGUCGCCCAGCACCAGCCCGUCCACCGCGUCGAUCAUCCGCUGGUAGCGCCACCGGUCGUCGCUGUAACGGUACAUCUGGCUCGUCGCCGCCGACCCGUUGAUCACGUCGUGGUCCUUGACGACCAUCCAGCCCUUCGCGGUCUGCUCGUCCACCAGCGUCGACUCGUUCUCGAACCCGUCGGACUUCACCUCCGUCUCGAGCUUGAAGGUGUGGGACAGGCUCCCCGUGACGACGGACAUGCCGUCCUCGCCGUCCUCCGUGUCCAUGUAGAACGACAGAGGGUACUCGGACUCGGUCUUGAGCUUGCCGAUCACCUUCCUCGCCUCCGACCGGACCAGCACCUCCGUCUCCUGCUCCGCCUUCAUCUGGACGGUCUUGUUCCUGCCGUCCUUGGUGAACUCGACCAGGCUGCGUGCCUCCAGCUCCGUCUCCACCUCGGUCGUCAAGUUGCCGAGCGACGACUUGACCCAGCCGCUGAAGAAGGACUUCCUCUUGGCAUGGAUGCUGAAGCUGCCGUUCUGCAGCUGCGUCGUGUAACGGCGGGAGAUGGACAGGCGCGGCGUCCGGUACCGGCCGAGCGACGCUUGCACGUCCGACGCGCUGGGGUCCAGCCAGAGGUGCAGGUUGGCGUCCACGAGCCACUCGGCGAUGCCGUCCACCACGCUGAUGCCGAACUCGUGCGCCUUGCCGUCGACGAGGAGGCCCAGGAAUGGGGUGAGCUCGAUGUCGUAGGUGGGCAGGUCGAACGCGCCGAGCGCGGACACGGGCUGCCAGUAGAGCGGGUUGAUGCCGCCCGUGUAGAUGACGGGGAACGGCACGAAGGACCCGGCGAAGUGGUGGUCCACGCUGACGACGACCUCGCGGUACGCGGCGUUGCCCCUCUGCGUGGUGAGGUUGUUCUCAUGGAUGUAGAGGUCCGGCGGGUUGGAGUACCAGAACUCGUCGUUGGAGUGAGGGGACACGAACACCUCGAGGACCGCACGGUAGGUGCUCGACGGAAUGGUCACGAGCUUGGAGCGCGAGUCGGACGAGUUCUGGAUGCGGAACCAGUAGCCGCUGUCGCGGGUGGCCUCCGAGAUGGGCAGGAUCAGGUCCGCCGGCUGGAAGUACGACUCCGGCAGCGUCGGCGUCGCGGGGCCGGGGUCGGCGACACCAGCAUCGGAGGACGGGGAAUUUACCCCGGAGAGGUAAGCCGGAGUCCCGUGGAACUCGAGGGAGACGGUGACGUUGUAGACGCCGGUGUACUCGUCGUUGACGAGGUUCUCGAGCAUGACCGAGAGGACGCCGUCGGGCGGGGAGCGGAGGAGGGCGGAGUAGCGGGUGACCUCCUUGCGCACGGUCCAGCUGACGCCCUCGGGGGUGGGCUCGGCGGUGGUGGUGCGGAGGAGCUCGGAGCCGUCGAGCCAGACGGCGGCGACGCGGUCGUACUGGUCGCCGGCGCAGGCGGCGGAGAAGGAGAGCACGACCUGGGACCAGGGCGCGGGGCACCCGGGCGGGGGCGCGUAGGCGGCCUUGGCCGGGGGCGCGCCGUAGGUGUUGGCGAAGGAGUAGGAGAGCACCGGCACGGUGCAGGUCGGCGCGGCGGGGGGCGGGCCCGGGAGCGGGUAGGUGGGGUCGAUGUACUCCUGGGCCGCCGCAUUGCCGUUGGCGCCCGUGGCCGGCGGCGCGUGGCGGACGGCGUACCGGUCGGGGGCCUCGGCGAGAGCCGGACCGAGGAGGUGGAGGAGCGGGAGCAGGAGGAGGAGAGCCAGCGGCGGCAUCUUGCGCUGCGACGGGGGGAAGGUUGCUGGCUCGCUGAUGAGUGCUGA